UGGUGGGCUAUAGUCCCUGAGGUCACAAAGAGUUGGACGUGACUGAAGUGACUUAGCACGCACACUUUCUGGAUAUGUUGUGUGUAAUAGUCAGCUAGGGCUGCCACAGUAGAAUAGCACAGAAUGGGUGGUUUAAACAACAGAAGUCUAUAUCCUUACAGUUCUGGCGGAUGGAAGUCCAGGAUCAAGGAAGGUAUCGCCUACUUUACUAUCCAGCAGUAAGAAGAAAACUUCUCUCCACCAGAUGACAUUCCAGCCAACCAGAGACUGUAGUGCCCCAACCAAAUGUGACCGUAUUGCAAACAGGUCUUUGCAGAUGUCACGAGGUGAGAUGAGAUCUUACCGGCCUGGGGUGGGCCGUCAGUCCACGAUAUGUGUCCACUGUGAAGGCCAAGCAAAGACACGGAAACACUGGGAAGGUGGCCACGUGGCAAGAGAGGCAGAGACGGGGCUGAGGCAGCCACCAGUCAAGGAAGGCCACGGAUUGCCAGCCGUCAGCAGAAGCUGAGGGGGGUGCGGAGAGAUUCUCUGCUAGAUCCUUUGGAGGAAGCAUGGUCCCGACAGCACCUUUACUUCUGAUUUCUGCCUUGCAGAACUGUG
Odocoileus virginianus texanus is the source of this 600-nucleotide long non-coding RNA. RefSeq lists it as uncharacterized. Lineage: Eukaryota; Metazoa; Chordata; Mammalia; Artiodactyla; Cervidae. The record is from RefSeq and is a predicted model, not a curated record.